AAAUUCGCUGAUGAGCUAAAUCCCUCUAUCAAUGGUUCUCGUCCUAUUACUGCUCUUGUUGUCGGCUUAGCCCAGUUGGAUACAUACAGUACAUAAGCAGAAUCCAUUCCUUUCACAUCAAUUCAUCGAUCAUCAUUCUAGUUGACCAUCACACUACUGCAUACCGGUUAUCCAUGCAUAUUUCUACCCACUUGGAAACAUUUACAGCGUAUUACGAGAUGGUCAGGGAAAUCAAUAAAGCGGUCUACGAAGCGGGGAGAAAAAAAAAAAAAAGGAUCCAUCCCCCCCCACACCAAGUUCAACAUGGGAACGGGGCACGGGGCGGCAAUCAUAUAUUUGUAUAACUAUACGCAGUAUACAAGGGCCCAAGAUAACAAACAACAGCUGGGGCAAAACCA
This 398-nucleotide small RNA is filed under the name Histoplasma ohiense. RNAcentral describes it as "hypothetical lncRNA". Lineage: Eukaryota; Fungi; Ascomycota; Eurotiomycetes; Onygenales; Ajellomycetaceae. The record is from RNAcentral.